CAUUAAGAAGCUAACAGGACUAAGCAUUAGCCUUUUAAGCUAAACUACGGUGAUUUCCUACCACCCUUAAUGA
RNAcentral lists this transfer RNA (73 nucleotides) under Narcine timlei (blackspotted numbfish). RNAcentral's name for it is "tRNA-Lys". The record is from RNAcentral. Lineage: Eukaryota; Metazoa; Chordata; Chondrichthyes; Torpediniformes; Narcinidae.